GAUUAGAUUCCCUGGUAGUACUCGUCGUAAUCGAUGUGGAUUUAGAGGUUGUGGUCGUGAUUCGUGGCUUCUGGAGAUGACUCGAUAAAUCCAGUGCCUGAGGAGUUUGGCCGCAAAGUUUAGGGUCAAUUGAAUUGACGGGGGCCCGCACCAGCGGUGGAGCAUGUGGUCUAAUUUGAUGCAACGCGAAGACCCCCUCCUUAUUUUGACAUCCAGUGAAUCCGAUAGAGAUAGAGGAUUGCCUUCGGGAACGGUGAGACAGGAAGGGCAUGGCCGUUGUCACCUUCCUCUGCGAAAAAAUGGGUUAAGUCCCGCAAGGCGUUCUUCCCUUAUCCGGCAUGGCCAGCACAUAAUGGUGGGCACUCAAAGGAAUUCCCCGGUGAUACCUCGGAGGAAGGUGGGGACGGCGUCAAGUCAUCAGGGCCCUUGAGAGUAGGGCUACACACGUGCUACAAUGGCAGAUACAAAGAGAAGCGACCUCGCGAGAGCAAGCGGAACUCAUAAAGUUCGUCGUAGUCCGGAUCGGAGUCUGCAACUCGACUCCAUGAAGUCGGAAUCGGUUGUAAUCGUAGAUCAGAAUUAGUCGUCGAAUUCGUUCCCGGGCAUCGUACACCAUUCCUGUCCCACCAUGGGAUUGGGAGCAAAAGAAGUAGGUAGUUUAACCUUCCGGGAGGGCGCUCACCACAGGGAUUCACCCGU
This 699-nucleotide ribosomal RNA is filed under the name Proteus mirabilis. Its description in RNAcentral is "bacterial SSU rRNA". It matches the Rfam family "Bacterial small subunit ribosomal RNA", at positions 776 to 1472 of the family's 1533-position model. Lineage: Bacteria; Pseudomonadati; Pseudomonadota; Gammaproteobacteria; Enterobacterales; Morganellaceae. The record is from RNAcentral.